GCGCGCCUACCAUGCAAGUCGAGCGGUAGCACAAGAGCUUGCUCUCGUGACGAGCGGCGGACGGGGUGAGUAAUGUCUGGGAAACUGCCUGAUGGAGGGGGAUAACUCUGAAACGGUAGCUAAUACCCAUAACGUCCAGACCAAAAGGGGGACCUUCGGCCUCUUGCCAUCAUGUGCCCAAUGGGAUUAGCUAUAGGUGGGGUAACGCUCACCUAGCGACAAUCCCUACUGGUCUGAGAGGAUGACCACCACACUGAACUGAGACACGGUCCACACUCCUACGGGAGGCAGCAUGGGGAAUAUUGCACAAUGGGCGCAAGCCUGAUGCACCCAUGCCCGUGUAUGAAAAGCCUUCGGUUGUAAAGUACUUUCCGGGGAGGAAGCGAUAAGGUUAAUAACCUUGUCGAUUGACGUUCCCCAAAAAACACCGGCUAACUCCUGCCACACCCGGUAAUACAGGGUGCAAGCGUUAAUCAAUUCUGGGCGUAAAGCGCACGCAGCGGUCUGUCAAGUCGAUGUGAAAUCCCCGGGCUCACCUGGAACUGAUUCUAAACUGCAGGCUAUAGUCUUGUAAGGGGGUAGAAUUCCGUGUACGUGAAAUGCGUAAGAUCUGAGGAAUACCGUGGCGAAGCGGCCCCCUGACAAAACUGACCUCGUGCGAAAGCGUGGGAGCAAACAGAUUAAUACCCUGGUAGUCCACGCCGUAAACAUUCACUUGUAGGUUGUGCCCUUGAGGCGUGUCUUCCGGAGCUACCGUUAAUCACCCCUGGGAGUACGCCGCAAGGUUAAACUCUAAUGAAUUGACGGGGCCCCCACAACGGGUGGAGCAUGUGGUUUAUUCUAUGCCCGCGAAAAAACCUUCUACUCUUGACAUCAGAGAAUUUCCCAAAAUGAUUGUUGCCCUGGGAACUCUUAACAAGGCUGCAUGGCUGUCCUCACCUCCGUUUGAAAGUUGGGGUUAAAUCCCCCAAAGGCAACCCUUUUUUUUUUUUCCCCCGGUUUAGCCCGGGAA
This 1012-nucleotide ribosomal RNA is filed under the name Enterobacter sp. 6B_12. RNAcentral's name for it is "bacterial SSU rRNA". It matches the Rfam family "Bacterial small subunit ribosomal RNA", at positions 42 to 1137 of the family's 1533-position model. Lineage: Bacteria; Pseudomonadati; Pseudomonadota; Gammaproteobacteria; Enterobacterales; Enterobacteriaceae. The record is from RNAcentral.